This 408-nucleotide ribosomal RNA is filed under the name uncultured bacterium. RNAcentral describes it as "partial 16S ribosomal RNA". It matches the Rfam family "Bacterial small subunit ribosomal RNA", at positions 29 to 526 of the family's 1533-position model. The record is from RNAcentral.
AGUGAACGCUGGCGGCGUGCCUAAUACAUGCAAGUCGAACGGAGUGGCGCAAGGGGGAGUAAUAUAUAGCUAAUCUGCACCUUGAUGGAGGACAAAAGUGAGAAAUGACUGCUAAUACUCCAUAGCAAGGGAUGAGACUAUAUCGUAUCAGCUAGUCGGUGGGGUAACGGCCUACCGAGGCUAUGACGCGUAACUGGUCUGAGAGGAUGAUCAGUCACAUUGGACCUGAGACACGUUCCAAACUCCUACGGGAGGCAGCAGUAGGGAAUAUUGCGCAAUGGGGGCAACCCUGACGCAGCAACGCCGCGUGGAGGAUGACACUUUUCGGAGCGUAAACUCCUUUUGUUAGGGAAGCGGUACCUAACGAAUAAGCACCGGCUAACUCCGUGCCAGCAGCCGCGGUAAUAC